RNAcentral lists this ribosomal RNA (396 nucleotides) under uncultured bacterium. RNAcentral describes it as "partial 16S ribosomal RNA". It matches the Rfam family "Bacterial small subunit ribosomal RNA", at positions 360 to 774 of the family's 1533-position model. The record is from RNAcentral.
AAUAUUGCACAAUGGGGGAAACCCUGAUGCAGCAACGCCGCGUCAGCGAUGAAGGCCUUCGGGUCGUAAAGCUCUGUCCUAAGGGAAGAUAAUGACGGUACCUUAGGUGGAAGCCCCGGCUAACUACGUGCCAGCAGCCGCGGUACUACGUAGGGGGCAAGCGUUACCCGGAAUCAUUGGGCGUAAAGGGGGCGUAGGCUGCCAUCUAGGUCAGAGGGAAAAGGCUGAGGCUAAACCGUAGUAAGCAUUUGAAACUGGAGGGCUUGAGUGCAGGAGAGGAGAGUGGAAUUCCUAGUGUAGCGGUGAAAUGCGUAGAUAUUAGGAGGAACACCAGUGGCGAAGGCGACUCUCUGGACUGAAACUGACGCUGAGGCACGAAAGCGUGGGUAGCGAACA